Molecule: ribosomal RNA, 268 nt
Filed under: uncultured prokaryote
Description: partial 16S ribosomal RNA
Rfam family: Bacterial small subunit ribosomal RNA
Source: RNAcentral
CACGUAGGGGCGAGCGUUGUCCGGAAUUACUGGACGUAAAGGGCGCGCAGGCGGUUAUGUUAGUCUGCUGUGAAAAGCAUCGGCUUAACCGGUGUCUUGCGGCGGAUACUGCAUAGCUUGAGUACUGGAGAGGGAAGUGGAAUUCCCGGUGUUGCGGUGAAAUGCGUAGAUAUCGGGAGGAGCACCGGUGGCGAAGGCGGCUUUCUGGCCAGUUACUGACGCUCAUGCGCGAGAGCUGGGUUAGCGAACCGGAUUAGAUACCCGGGUA